Molecule: ribosomal RNA, 136 nt
Filed under: uncultured Trebouxiophyceae
Lineage: Eukaryota; Viridiplantae; Chlorophyta; Trebouxiophyceae
Description: partial small subunit ribosomal RNA
Rfam family: Eukaryotic small subunit ribosomal RNA
Source: RNAcentral
CGCCCGUCGCUCCUACCGAUUGGGUGUGCUGGUGAAGCGUUCGGAUUGGCGCCAGUCGGCGGUUUCCGCUUUCUGGCGCCGAGAAGUUCGUUAAACCCUCCCACCUAGAGGAAGGAGAAGUCGUAACAAGGUUUCC